GAUGAACGCUGGCGGCGUGCCUAAUACAUGCAAGUCGAGCGAACGGACGAGAAGCUUGCUUUUCUGAUGUUAGCGGCGGACGGGUGAGUAACACGUGUAUAACCUACCUAUAAGACUGGGAUAACUUCGGGAAACCGGAGCUAAUACCGGAUAAUAUUUUGAACCGCAUGGUUCAAAAGUGAAAGACGGUCUUGCUGUCUCUUAUAGAUGGAUCCGCGCUGCAUUAGCUAGUUGGUAAGGUAACGGCUUACCAAGGCAACGAUGCAUAGCCGACCUGAGAGGGUGAUCGGCCACACUGGAACUGAGACACGGUCCAGACUACUACGGGAGGCAGCAGUAGGGAAUCUUACGCAAUGGGCGAAAGCCUGACGGAGCAACGCCGCGUGAGUGAUGAAGGUCUUCGGAUCGUAAAACUCUGUUAUUAGGGAAGAACAUAUGUGUAAGUAAAUGUGCACAGAUUGACGGUAACUAAUCAGAAAGCAACGGCUAACUACGUG
This 497-nucleotide ribosomal RNA is filed under the name uncultured bacterium. Its description in RNAcentral is "partial 16S ribosomal RNA". It matches the Rfam family "Bacterial small subunit ribosomal RNA", at positions 28 to 507 of the family's 1533-position model. The record is from RNAcentral.